CCUGUUUAACAAAAACAUGUCUUUUUGAGUUAUUUUUAAAGUCUGACCUGCCCACUGAAUUUUUUUAAAUGGCCGCAGUAUUCUAACUGUGCAAAGGUAGCAUAAUCAUUAGUCUUUUAAUUGAAGGCUGGAAUGAACGGUUGGACGAGGUAUAAGCUGUUUCAUAUAAAUUUAUAGUAGAAUUUUAUUUUUUAGUUAAAAAGCUAAAAUUUAAUUAAAAGACGAGAAGACCCUAUAAAUCUUUAUAUUUUAUUUUAUUUAAGUUUUUUGGAUUAGUUUUAUUUUUAUAAUUUAAAAUAUUUUGUUGGGGUGAUAUUAAAAUUUAAUGAACUUUUAAUUUUUUAAAAUCAUUAAUUUAUGAAUUAUUGAUCCAUUAAUAGUGAUUAUAAGAUUAAGUUACUUUAGGGAUAACAGCGUAAUUUUUUUGGAGAGUUCAUAUCGAUAAAAAAGUUUGCGACCUCGAUGUUGGAUUAAGAUAUAAUUUUAGGUGUAGCCGCUUAAAU
Molecule: ribosomal RNA, 503 nt
Filed under: Bactrocera aglaiae complex sp. MAC004
Lineage: Eukaryota; Metazoa; Arthropoda; Insecta; Diptera; Tephritidae
Description: Bactrocera nr. aglaiae MAC004 partial large subunit ribosomal RNA
Rfam family: Bacterial large subunit ribosomal RNA
Source: RNAcentral